CGCAUGGAUUUGUGUGAAAAACUCCGGUGGUGUAAGAUGGACCCGCGUCUGAUUAGCUUGUUGGCGGGGUAACGGCCCACCAAGGCGACGAUCAGUAGCCGGCCUGAGAGGGUGGACGGCCACAUUGGGACUGAGACACGGCCCAAACUCCUACGGAAGGCAGCAG
Molecule: ribosomal RNA, 166 nt
Filed under: uncultured bacterium
Lineage: Bacteria
Description: partial 16S ribosomal RNA
Rfam family: Bacterial small subunit ribosomal RNA
Source: RNAcentral